This 608-nucleotide long non-coding RNA is filed under the name Monomorium pharaonis (pharaoh ant). Its description in RNAcentral is "uncharacterized LOC118647039". Lineage: Eukaryota; Metazoa; Arthropoda; Insecta; Hymenoptera; Formicidae. The record is from RNAcentral.
UAACAUGUAAUGUAACAGAUGUUACACUCUAUUUAUAUUAUAGUUACGAAACUUUACUACAUAUAUGUGAUGUAACAAAGUUAUGAAGCUAUAAUAUUACUCCGUUAUUUGUAUGUUACAAUAACCGAACAGUGAUGUAACCACAAUGUUGCGUGAUUACACAACAAUUGUUUUAUUUAUGUUAUAUGGAUAUUAUAAAAUUUGAAUCUUGUGAGACUCUAACCUCAAUCGCACAACGUACAUCUCGUGCUAUUAGGCGCGCUUUCCGCUAGUGGAUGCUAUAAUGACGAAAGAGAGACGUUGUUUUCUUGCAACUUGACUUUAAUCAGGAUUCUGCCAAUUAUUCUUACAUCAUUCGGACAACUGUUCUUCUUAAAAUUUAAAAGAACGUAAAGAAUAACUGAAGUUUAUAAAAGCUGAAGAAAUUUUCACAAGGAUUAGAACAGAAAACUGAACUCAAAUGGAAGCGCUUGCACUCUCAUGUUACUAUCAUGUCCUGACAAUUUCGGAUUUUAUAAAACUAUAGGAGAUGUUGUGAUUGACGUUGAGAUUGUGAUUGACAUCUGGAGCAGAGCUAUAAUUUUGUUUAACAUUACGUGAAGUUUAUU